Motacilla alba alba is the source of this 11125-nucleotide long non-coding RNA. RefSeq lists it as uncharacterized. The record is from RefSeq and is a predicted model, not a curated record. The transcript has 8 exons. Lineage: Eukaryota; Metazoa; Chordata; Aves; Passeriformes; Motacillidae.
AGCAUGCAUCAGCCACAUCCAUGCUAUCUCCUAAAGCAGUCAUUCUGAAACCCAAUCUGGGGACAGUGCAGACUAAAUAAAAUUUCAUUUUGAUUUGGCCUCCCGCUGAGAAUGGGACUGCUUUGUUUCAGCCGACAGAACCAGCAAGCCAGAAAGGUGUUGAAUACACAAAUACUGACUUAACAGAAAAUUAUAAACAUGCUUUUGAGAAUCUUAUUAUUUGACUUGGAAGUUACCUCCAGUGUUACCUAGAUGAUUAUCAAUAUGCAAUUUGGAUUUGGCUUGCUUGAUGCUGGACGAUUAAUGAAGGAAGCCCUAACUGGACAAAUGUUGGUCUCCUGAGACAAUGUGUUGUUGAUAACAGGUCUGAUUUGAGCAAGUCUAGUCAAAUUCAAUUUUAAUAGUAUUUAAAGGCACACACAGGACACAUACAGCUGAGCUUUUGGCUGGUUUGUCUAUUUUUAAUGUCUGUUGUGUUACCAAAGCCUAUUCCCAUCAAAUAUUAAACUUUGCAAGGCAGUAAAGACACAUACCUGUCAGCAGCAGAGACACAAAUUUAGCCUCAGUAUAGCAGAAUUUGUUCAAAAUUUGCCUUUCUUCUUUCAUACUUAUGCAGUCUGGAAUAUGUAAUUCAUCACUACAUGACUAUUCCUGUGGAGGAAUUAUUGCACUCUGAUUAUUUUGAACCCUAAAAAUUAUUGAUUGAGGUAAAGAAGAGACAAGAAGGUAUUGCAAUCAGUUCUCAAUCUAGUGAGGGCAAUCUGCUUAAAGGCAACUAAUCCUUAGCCUAAAAGCUGUAUGCAGUUGCUACUGCUCCUACAGGACUUUUCACAUCUCUGUGCCUGUGUCAUUUAUGUGAGGUACAAAACGUUUUCCACUGCACUACCAAAAUCAAGAUAACCACCAAACAUCAAGGCACUAUCUUAUUGGAUUGCUGCAUUGACUGUGAAAUUCAGCUCACAGCUCAGUCACAGCUCCAACUGAGGAGGAAAAAAGUCUCACAUGCCACCAGAAUGCUGGGCUUCAGGACGUCUCCUCUCUCAUAAAGUGAAAGCAACGGCAUCUAAAGUCAGCAGGGUCUAGAGUACUUUUCUCCUUCCAAGACCUCCCAUUUUCUACAGAGAGAAGGUUAUUGAAACAGAGCCUAAUGGCCAGCUCCCUGCAGGACUAGAAAAGGAUUGACAAUAAGAUGUGGAUGUUCAUCUUUAAUGAACUCUAGCCACCAAGUGGAAGCCAGCUAAAUUUGAUGAUGCAAUUGACUACCUUCUCAGUAACAGCUGAAUAUCUGCUCCUCAAAAUGAGCAAGCCUGUUAACUGCAAAUGGGAAGAGAUGAAGCAAGCAAAAAAAAAAAGUGUGAAGAGCUUUGCUGCCAUAUCAUCCCUGUAUCAGAUAGUUUUAGGAUCAAUGAAUGAAUAGGUAAGAGAGACUGUUAUUCUACAGAGAAGGGCUAUUCCAGAGAAAUGAAGGGGGAAAAAUUAAAAGGCAGAUCAGUACAUUGUCACUAUAUGAUGACAAUAUUAGAGAAAAGCAUUCAUUUGUCUUCUUUUAAUUUUGGAUCUUUAUAGUGGAAGAGUACUUCAGAGAGAUCUAGAUAAUAAUAUAUUUUAUCUUAUCAAGUGUUGCCACAGUACCAGUAUUUUUGUUUUCUUGUUGGAGUUACUCAUGUAAGAGAAACCACUCUGCUGUAUAAGUUAAAAGAUCACAUUCUGUCCUUCAUUUUUGCACUUUAUGUUAUAAGACACUUUGUUUACUAUAGAGGUAAUAGAUAUCAUCACCUUUGGUUAACCAUGAAAGUGUUGAUUUUCAAAUUAUUAGAAGUUUUAAUUAUUCUAAUUAUAAGUAAUUCUGAUGCAAUGACAUUUCACACGCAGAAGUUAUAUCAGUGAAAAUCACUUAGGAUAACAGGCAGAAAUUAAUUUUUUUUCUCUGAAUAUUCAUAGUACACUGGAAAUUGGGAGGUCAGGAUUUCUCACAGAUAAGACCAUUCACUGCAGUGUUUCCCUCCAUGGAGUUACAUGCUACAUUCCCUUCCUCCCUUAUACACUAAAGCAAGAGAAACAUUUCCCUCACGAGCAGGGAUUCAGUGGUCUUCUUUGUCAGGCACUAGUUUUGGUGGUUUUGGUGCUGUACAAGGCAGAAGAUAUGGGAGAUGUCUGGAUUGUCAGCAUCAAGUGGUUACUUUAAAUGCCAGAGGUGGAGGAGUUCUGGAAAGAGCUGAAAAAAUACAAGUAGAUUAAUUUGCACUUCACAGAAGUUUCUGUUAGAAUAGAGGCAGAAAGGGACUGAAAGAGUCAGGAAGAGAAGAAAACAUAGAGGCAAAGUAAUGGCAAAAAUUAAACAUUAAAUAUUUCCUUUAACUGCACUCAGAGAUGGGGAUUAUAUUUGACCAAACAACCAAAUCCUCCACCACAAGUCAGAGCUAAGGCUAACUCCACUUUUUUAUUUCAAUACUUUCAAUAGAAAGGACCCAGUCAAUUAUUCUCUGUGUGCUAAAUAGUAUACUAGCAACACUAAUAGACCAAGCAGAUGGUUUUGUGGCAUUGUAUGAGUGGUAUAAUAUUUUACUGUAAAUAUAAAUAGGAUACUCACCUUGUUGAAGUUCCCAAUGUACUUUAUAAUAAACCAAGUAAUUUUGACAGUAAAAUGUUGACCAACCCUAGCCUAACAGCAUUCACAUUAUGAGCUGAAUACUGACACAAAUCCCGUCCAUUAGCAAAAGAGUCGGCGGUAUUACAUUGACUUUUACAAUUUGAAGGAUAAAUACAGAAAUGUGAGAGAUGGAGUAAUAAAAGCCAUGUAGUCCCUGCUCUUCAAAGGUCUCAUCCAGACCCUACAAAGGUAAUAUGCCUACUCUUUUUGAUUUUAAUAAGCUUUGAAAAGUCAAAAAUCAUUGAAAAUUAAUAACAGGAAAAAGAAUCAGUCUGUUUAUAUUUGUUGGGUUAUAUCCAUAAUAAACUUAUUAAAAAAAAGAAAAUGGUAGAACACAUUAAAACAGAUCCAAAUACUAAAUUAAUUCUAGCUUUCAAGAUUACCUCAUUUUCUGCUCCAGCGUUAAGUGUGUGAUGACUUUUCCAAAGCCUUUAUUGAAAACAUUUCUUUUCCCAUCAUGGAACUAUGCAUCUUGCUUUCUUCUUGCAGCUGUUCCUUCUAGAGACACGAAUCUUUGGACAAGCAGUUACCAAUAUCAGAGGGUAGUCUGGAAUGUACCACCACCUGGGACACCAAAGGAUUACAGAUUGCUCUCAUGGGAACUGCUGGGUGAGGGGUGGUGGUGGUGGGUCAGGAAAAUGUCCAGCUAAAGCAGAGUGCCCAGGAGUGCCCCAGGGAACAGAAGCAAGGCCAAACAACAUUGUGCCAAACACAGAUUUCUGAGCUAACCUGUAUUUUCAGGUAGAUUUUAUCCUUACAGUGGGUUUUUAUCUGACAAUAAAAUAAAGCAAACAAACGGACUAUAAGGUUGGAUCCUCAUUCUGCCUUUCACAAAAGGAGAACUGAGGAAAAGACAGAUGGAGUGAUUUUCUGGAGCAAGUUGAGCCCUAGGUCGAAUUGGAUCUCCUGUCUUGUUCAGAGGCUGCCCUUUCCUGACUGUGAUGUGGAAGAAACACAGCCAUUAGCAGGCACCUGCAAAAAUGCUCCACCUGUUUUUGCUCAAAGUGACAAAGCCCAGAGGACUAUGUCUGUGUUGUUCCCUGCAGGUCUGUGGGGAGCAUGAUGUAGCUGAUGCAAUUCCCAGCUCCAGCACACCUGCAAGGUCUCAUUGAUCCGCUGUUCAGUGCUCUGAAAACUCAGAAAUCUAUUAUCAGUGUGAGCAUGUGCUUAUUGAUCAGGUUACCUGCUUCUGCUCCCUGUGUGCACCUAAUUGUACCAGCAUACACACACACACACACACACAUAAAUAUUCACACAUGUGUGCAUAGAUACAGGUGCACACACAUGGGUUACGGGGAUGUGUGCAUGAUAAAGGCUUUUCCUUUUUUUAGCUUUACAAAACUGCACAUAAAUAAAAAGAAUGGACCUUCCCUGUGAAACGUGAGCACAGAAACGCUCACAAGUGGCCAAGAGCUGCUAAAUAAUUAAUCAAUAGAGCAGUGUGGCAGUUUGAAAUGUAAAUGUGAUGGAUGAAGGUGUGAUGCUUGUCAUCAAGCAGAAAAUGAUGUGACUAGAAUGGAUAACCCACAGUACCUGCUAACUGGCAAGAGCUUGGACACAAAGAUAAAGUAAAGCCAUCAGAAAGCAGACCUGGCAACCCCUAAUUCUUGCCUUUGACCCACAAUUCACUUUCAUGUCUCUGUCCCAGAAGAGAUGUUUAAAAAAAUGAUGAAGAGAGAUCUUGGGGUGGGAAAGGGGUGAGAAAAAAACCAUCUGAAGAAAUGCUACCUGACAAGGCUGCAGGCUACGUUCUUGAGAACACCUUUCUUUUCUUUAUGUUCUCCUUCUCCCGUUAAAUAAAAAUGCGGCUCCUUUUUUCCCUUCCCUUUCUUCCGAAACUCUCCCGAGCCGUUCCUGCAAGUGGUUCUGUGACUCGGGAGCUGAAAACAGCCGCAUGCAAAGGAACAAAGAAUGAGAGUGACAAUUCAGAGUGCACGCAGGUGAGAAAGACACCUUUUACUUAUCAAACUAGGCUGCAAAAAAUGCUCUUUUUACUCAGCGAGCUAGAAAUAGCGGUGAUCUAACAAGGCACUGAUCCAAAUUCUUUAUUUAUGCUGAGAUGUAAUGCUAACAGGAUUUUUAGGUUGACUAGUAGUCUGUGGCCCCUCCGUUCAAGGAAGGAAGCAUUCCUCUGAUUUGGAAAGAGGAAAAUCCAUAUAAUUACUGUAUAUUAUGUGACAGGAAAAUGUAUGCUGUGAUGCUAAAGGGUGACAGAAAAUGUCCAUCAAAAAAUUUGUUUUCAGUAACUUCCUAUGCCAGUCAUUGCAUUCUCUCUGCAGAGAAACAUAACAUGAUCGAGCUCAAUUGGUCCAAAUUUGAGAUAAAUUAACUUUUGUAAAAAAUGGGAUUUUUUUGAUCCUUUUUUUCCCCUAUAAAAUUGCAAGCCUGCACAUAGGAUUUAAAAGUUAGAUGUCUCCUUCUCCCUCGAAAAGAGAAACCUCUUUCUCAGUAAGUACCAUUUAGCAGGUUGGGGAUUUUUUUUCCUCUUUUGUUAUCAAAAGCACAGUCUUUACAGAAAGUGAAAAAUACCACAAUUUUACAUUAAAAUUUCAAACUCGACAAAAUAUACAUUAGCAGAUAACACCCACUAAAAGUGAAAGCUAAAUAUAGAUAUAUAAUAAUAGUGCUUUGGCAUGCAAAAUAGAUGUUCUACCAUUUCUAAGUCAUAAAAUAUAAAUACAAGUAUUCUCUUAAAAUCUUUUUGUGUUUUUAGGACCCCUACAGAUGUGAAGCAGCCUGCAGAAGCAGCAGAUCUCCAGGUGAACUGGCCAUUGUUUCCAUAUUUCCUCAAAUGAUUAUUUUUACCUUUUUUUGUUGGGAUCAGGUUUUUAAUCUUUAUGAUUCCUUUAUAAAAGAGUCAUCAAGAAAACACAUAAGUAUUUCUACACUUCUAGUAUUUCUACACAUUUCUACACAAAAAAAAAAAAAAAAGGUGCCAAAAUUAAUUUGGAAGUUGAGAAUUAGAGCUUACAUUAAAAUAGAACCCUAGUUUGCCCAGCUCCAUAGUAAACAACCCACAUUUUGUCUGGGAUGGGUUGCUGAUGUAAAUCCAUUGAAGGGAAAUCCUUUCUGUAAGUUGGCUACCUGGAUAAGCUUUGAGCAAAGUGCCAGCUAUCAGUGCAUACAAGAAUCACCAUGGUCCAAAUAAAUUAUUUCCUCUUUAGAAUGGCAAAAAUGUGGUCUGAUUGGUAAUUCAGCUUGAAUUUCAUUUUUGGGGCAUUUUAAGUCAUGUUUUCAAAGUUGUUGUUUUGGAGUUUUCAUCUAGCUCAUGUCAGAGCCACUUAGCUGUAUAUAUUUACUGACACAGCAGGCACAUUCAUAAUAAUUUUUAGUGUUUUUUCACAGCUUCACAAAUGCAAUGUCAUCAUAAGCAGGAAUCAGACCUGAGAAUUUGGAAAAAUAUGAGUACACCAGUCUGUAGGAUGGAGGAAUGAUCCCACACUUUACAUCUGUUAUGUUUUUGAGGGGAUAUGUUCAUAGAUUUUGCAGUGUUAGAAAGGAAUUUGGUCUAAUGGCUCACAAAGAUUGAUGCUGAGUAUAAGCAAUUGCCAUAUUGCGGUAAUGUAGCAAUAUUUAUCACUAGUAGGUCUUCCAUUCCCUCAUAAACUGCUGUAGAAGAGGAAAAGAGACAUUUUAGCAGUCUGUUGUCACUAAACUCACAGAAGUCCAUUUCUGUACCUCUAGUCUGUCUCCGCUGCAGAGGGUCUUGCAAUAGAGAGAUGACAGAUUGGGUUGUAAAUGUGCAUCAGUCAUCCCCAGCCUCAGGGAAGGAGAGGCACCUACUCAGGCUGGAGAGAGCUGUGAGGCACCCUGUCCUUGUGCCCAGAAUGGAGGACCAGCCCACUGCUGUAGAGGUGCUUACCAGCCUAGCAAUAGGAGCAGUGGUUCACUGUGAUAGGAAAUGUACAAAUACACCAGCAAUUAGCCAACAUUUUAAAAUAUCAUAGAAACACAGGUACCACCAGGACUUCACUUUCUUCCCCCUUUAAGUUUGCUAGGUACAUAGAGGAAAGGGACGUAAAAAUUAACCUGAAAAAGACAGAGCUAAAAAACAGAUCUGAGUCUUAAACCCCAAAGUGGUCUCCAGCAGCUGCCUACUGCAGAGGUGAAGCUGAUAACCCCCUAGCAGAGUGUCCCAGAUCACUGCCCCAGGCUCAAGCACUUUGAAGCUUGGACACUUCCCGAGUUAGGAAAUUUUGCCUACCUUGCUGUAGCGAUGAUUGUUUAAAUAUACAGCCAUGACUUGCCCAUACAAGCAGGCUUUGUUUCACCCCAAGUGUUAUGCCAAACUAGUUGUAUAUCAUCAUGAAGAAUAACUGCAUUUCCCCAGAGUUGAUUUCCUAUGGCACAUUUUACUUAGAUACUUUCUCAACACCCUCGCAAAUAUGUCAUAGAUCUAAAGCACAAUCUCAGUUUCAAAAUGAAUGGGUCUGAUUACAGGCAUAUUCAUUUUGUAAAAGGUACAAAAGGAUACAAAUGUGCCUUUCCAUCUCCUAUAAUGUCAAAGUAAGACCCUCUUGCCCUUUUAUUUCAAUCCCCGCAAUUUGAAAAUAUAAAAAAAUGACUUGAUUAUAUGUUUUUUACCAUUAAGUGUAUAAUUGCUUUUGUGUUUUGACAUUUAAUUCCUCUUACCAAAAUACAUGGUAGGAAUUAAAAGUCAAAUCUUUUAUGUAUUUGAUGUACAGAACCUUCCACAUGUUUCAAUAAGAAAUAUAGAGCUGUGAAACCUCAUGGCAGGUACAGUGAAGCCAUCUGAAAAUGAAGUCACUUUUUUAGACUGGAAAUCUGACUGUGGCCCCAGUUCUGCCCUCCCUUAUCUAGGUCAAUGGCUUUUGAAAUCACUGGAAGGUCUGAAUGAGUCAAAACCAAGCAAAACCUGAAGAACUUGACCUUUAAAAUAGAGCUGGGAUUAUACCGUGCCCUCUUGGGCAGAUUUUGAGAUUACAGUCCAGUCUGAAAAUUAGUUCUGAAAGCCAUAAGACAGGAGUUGGCCAGGCAGUUGAGUGUAUUGACCUGGUAUGGGAUGGCAGUAGGAAGGAGCACAGAUCCCAGAAGGGAGGAACAGGAGGAGCAGGGAGCAUCAGUGGGCUAUUUCAGUUGGCCCAAGGCCAGCAGGAAGACUCUGAUGUUGAGAGAGAAAGUGAACUCUGGGCUGCUGAAAAGGUCUAGCUGCACACAAUAUGCUUGUAGGUGUUUCACAUGGGUUUUACCUUCCCAUUGUCUCAACUUUCCCAGUAAGGUUUUCCUACUUCAUGUAUUGUCCUCCCCUCUAUUGCAUUCUUCUUACUCUUUCUCACAGUUUUCAUAUUCCUCCUUUUCAUCUCUUCUUCUGUCUCUCUUUCAUUACUUGUGCCCUUUAUUUGAAUUCUCUCACUCCUUUCUUCCCUGUACUGCAUGCCAAAUUCUCCAUCUUUACCUUAAUUUCUGUUCAUACUCAUUCACAACCUACAGUAUGAGAUUUCUUCUGGCUGUAUUUCCUUCCACUGGUCAUUCCACUGUGAUUUAUCCCCAUUCACUCAAGUCCCAAAGUGACUCGACCCUACAGCCGUAGCUGGGAUUAGUGACCUGAGGUUCAGAUUUAUGGAGUCUAGUGCUGUCUGAAAGAGUUUUCUGCAAUCUGGGAAGCGGACUCUGUCUGGGACAUCAGAUGAAUUGAUCUUGGGACUGCUUGAGCCAGGAAUUUUGAUGGUAGGCAGUAAUUGCAAACAAGAGCUCAGCAAUGCUCUUCCCAACAUUGGUAUUCUCCCUCACAAAUUCCGUCAUGCCUUCUAACAAAAACUGCUGCUGUAGGAAAAUAUGCUCUUGGAGUAAAAUUUUUGCUGUCUUUCUCCUUUUCCCAAAGCAAGGGACACAAUUUUCUUUCUUUCACCUCAGGAAAAAUUCCAUCAACAAAGGUAAAGGAGGAAGACAAAAGGUAUCAAGGAAGAGAAGUAAAGGGAGCAGGAAAUAGUUGCAUCAGGAAGAAGCAAGUCAGAGAGAGAGGGAGGAGGGGGGGCAGAGAGAGUGAGAGAGCUGAUAAUAUCUCCACACAACAGUUGUAAGUGUCACCAAAUCUCAUGGAGACACACUUAGCUCCCCAUAAUGAAAGCAGCUUGCAUUGCAUGGGUGCCAGCCGCACAAAUGCUGGAAAUUGCCUCCCUUUGGCCAUCAUGUGCUUGCACUUUGCAGGGGGAAUGAGAGAGCUUGGGGCUGUUCCAGACCAGCCGUGGCUUCCAAGGGCCUCCUUGGAAUGAGGGCAUCCUAUUGCUGGCAGGAUUGUGAGCAUGAAGAACUUUCCAGAUAGUCUUCCUUUGGUCGCAAGAUGACAGUGAGAAUGGAUUGUCAAACUGGACCACUAUGACAAUUUACUCUGAGGGAGAAAAUCCUGUGGGUGUUUAGAAGCUUUACUGUAAGUUAUAUUUGAUUAACUUAUCCUACCACUGACAAAUAAUUAGGUCAGCAAUUAAUUUCAAAAUGCAAAUGUUCUACAGGCCUUCAUAGUUUAAGAAAUUCCCUUUGUCUUUAGUUACUACUUGUGUUAAAGUCUUAAUGGAUUUAGCUGAAUGAAGAAACAAAAUUAUGUUUUCUAAUGCUUUAUUUACUUGGUUGAGUUGGACUUUUUCAGCAAAUAUUGACAGCAAAUGUUUGUUCAGAAAUGAUCAUGUGGAAAGAAAACAAAAGACUAAUUAUGAACCACUUCUUUUAUAUAUGUAUGUAUAUAUAUAUAUAUAUAUAUAUGUAUGUAUAUAUAUGUUCACACUUCUGCUGCAAAAUACUUGUCUACCUUCAUGACAUAGGAACAGAAAGACAAACCAGACGGUCAGGAGGAGAUCAUUGUGGCAAAAUCAUUAGUACCUGCUUAAGCAGUCUAAGAAACCAGGGUAUAUCAGAAAAAAAAACCCCAUACCUAAAACUGAUAUAAGCAUGUCUCAAAGGAACCUAUCUACCAACCUAUUUCAGGGACUUUAUUAUUAAGCAAACACAGAUUAAAAGGCUCAACCCUUCCCAAGAGAAGCUCAAGGGAGUUUUCUGUUUAGGGAGUGAGGCACCUAAGUCUGUGUUUUCUGUGAUUAAAAUCAUGCAAUUUUUUAGAAAAUAUUCAGAAUAUGCUGCUGUAAACAAAACCAACCUGCUAUCCUGAUGUAAAAUUUGAAUGAAUUUACACAGGUGGCAGAAUUAUAUUAGAAUUUUCUAUGAGUUAUUUUCCUCAAAGUUUUCAAGUCAAGAAGGAGAACAACCACUCAAAAAUUAGGUGAGGGUUUUUCACAAAAUUUUACUGACUGAAGAUGAAAAUAAUUUUUAUGCUUAAUGAGGCAAGCCACUUUGGAAGAAAUAAUGGUUAAAAAAAAAGUCAAGUUUUUGGUUUAAAAUGAUGCUUUCAUAUCACAUUCGCCUAAAUUAGUAAUGCAAAUAAUUACAUGAGAAAAAAAAAUAGAAAAUAAGAUAAAACUAAACAUUGCAUUUUUAGGGGGUUUUCAUAUUGGAAGGAAAACAGAGAGAAAGAGAAGAAUUGCAUGGGGUCAAAUGUGUCUCAUGUACACAGAAAAAGCUUGGUUUCCAUUCUCCUCCAAAAGAUAACAUCCAGGACCCUCUUUCCCUCCUAAGCAGCUCCUGAAGAACUUUGAAGGUUCCACUAGGUAGGAGCAGGCAACACAAGACUGAAGCUUGAUUUUGAAUGAGGGAGAAUCUCUCUUUUUCUCUCCUCCCAGAGUUGCGGGAAAGAAAAUCAGAAGCAUAUCUGGGUGCCAGAGGGCUGAGCUGUUGGGAGCUGAGCAGGCAGAAGCUUUCUUGUAAGAUAAGGGAGUGAUCAUGCUGCUCAGCUGCGCGCUGGCAGAGACCCCAUUAAAAAAUCACUUUUCAAAAAAGAUACAGCUGCCUUCAAAAGUGUCCGAAGGAGAGGAAUGGGAAUGAUCAGAAAUUUGGGAAAUGUCACCUGCAAAGAAAUCUGAACUGGGGUGAUUUCAUCUGGAAAAGAAAAUGAGUGGACAUAAAACCAAGGACUUCAAAUGUUAAAAGCCUUCUGGGAAGAGGCAGGGAAGAGUUUGUAUUUCAGGACUACAGCCAGAUGACAGAAAGUGACAGUACUACAUUGAAACAAAGGAAAGUCAGGUCAAAUGCUGGCAAAAAUUUUCACACAGUGAAGACAUUGAAGCUGUGGAAAUUAUUGUUUAUGGAGGAUCUGGAUUUUCCCGCACUGAAGACCUUUGAGAAUAGGCUACACAAUCUACUUUACAAAAUAAUGUGAAUAUAGUUUUUAGCUGACAGAAAUUCCUUAGCAGUUAUUACAUUGAUAUUUAAAUUUAUUUUAAGAAGCUGAUGGAACUCUUACUUUUGUGGUACCAUAAAAAAAAAACCUUUUAAAUUAAUCCAGGGCAAGAAACACACUCUAAAUGCCCAGUACAGCUGCCAUUGUGAGUGAGAGCAAUUGCCAUUGGGACUUAUCUGCUGAAACAGGACAGAUAGAAUGGUCUGCAUGACCAAAGGUGAGCUCAUUAA